CAGAACCUUACCCGCGUUUGACAUGCCCUGUUUGGUUACCAGAGAUGGUUUCCUUCAUUUAGUUGGCAGGUGCACAGGUGCUGCAUGGCUGUCGUCAGCUCGUGUCGUGAGAUGUUGGGUUAAGUCCCGCAACGAGCGCAACCCUUAUCCUUAGUUGCCAGCACGUUUGGGUGGGCACUCUAAGGAAACUGCCGGUGCUAAGCCGGAGGAAGGCGGGGAUGACGUCAAGUCCUCAUGGCCCUUACACGCGGGGCUACACACGUGCUACAAUGGCAGUGACAAUGGGAUAAUCCCAAAAAGCUGUCUCAGUUCAGAUUGUCCUCUGCAACUCGAGGGCAUGAAGUUGGAAUCGCUAGUAAUCGCGGAUCAGCAUGCCGCGGUGAAUACGUUCCCAGGCCUUGUACACACCGCCCGUCACACCAUGGGAGUUGGAUUCACCCGAAGGCGGUGCGCUAAC
RNAcentral lists this ribosomal RNA (457 nucleotides) under uncultured Hyphomonadaceae bacterium. Its description in RNAcentral is "bacterial SSU rRNA". It matches the Rfam family "Bacterial small subunit ribosomal RNA", at positions 964 to 1439 of the family's 1533-position model. The record is from RNAcentral. Lineage: Bacteria; Pseudomonadati; Pseudomonadota; Alphaproteobacteria; Hyphomonadales; Hyphomonadaceae.